AACGAACGCUGGCGGCGUGCCUAACACAUGCAAGUCGAACGAAAAGUCCGUGCUUAGUGGCUCCCGGAUGCGUAACGGGUGGGAAAAUGCCCUUGGGUUCGGACUCAUACCCUGGGAUGGGUGUUGAAACCGGGUAAUAUUUCUGGACAGAAGCUUUCUCGCCUUUGUGUGGGCUCGCGUUUGAUUAGGUUGUUGGUUGGGUAACAGCCUGCCCAGGCGGCGAUGCGUUGAUUGGCUGAGAGGAUGAUCGGCCACACUGGGACUGAGGCACGGCCCAGACGCCUACGGGAUGGAGAAGUGGGGAAUAUUGGACAAUGGGCGAAGGCCUGAUCCAGCAAGGCCGCGGGAGUGAUGAAGGCCGUAGGGUUGUAAAGCUCUUUUACCCGGGAUGAUAAUGACAGUACCGGGAGAAUAAGCUCCGGCUAACUCCGUG
RNAcentral lists this ribosomal RNA (433 nucleotides) under uncultured bacterium. Its description in RNAcentral is "partial 16S ribosomal RNA". It matches the Rfam family "Bacterial small subunit ribosomal RNA", at positions 29 to 507 of the family's 1533-position model. The record is from RNAcentral.